RNAcentral lists this ribosomal RNA (608 nucleotides) under Semotilus atromaculatus (creek chub). RNAcentral's name for it is "partial large subunit ribosomal RNA". It matches the Rfam family "Bacterial large subunit ribosomal RNA", at positions 1797 to 2606 of the family's 2925-position model. The record is from RNAcentral. Lineage: Eukaryota; Metazoa; Chordata; Actinopteri; Cypriniformes; Leuciscidae.
CGCCUGUUUUAUCAAAAACAUCGCCUCUUGCAAUACACUAAGUAUAAGAGGUCCAGCCUGCCCAGUGACUACGGGUUCAACGGCCGCGGUAUUCUGACCGUGCAAAGGUAGCGCAAUCACUUGUCUCUUAAAUAGAGACCUGUAUGAAUGGCUAGACGAGGGCUUAACUGUCUCCCCCUUCCAGUCAGUGAAAUUGAUCUAUCCGUGCAGAAGCGGGUAUAAAUUUACAAGACGAGAAGACCCUUUGGAGCUUAAGGUACAAAAUUCAACCACGUCAAACAACUCCAUAAGAAGCAAAAACUUAGUGGCACAUGGACCUUUACCUUCGGUUGGGGCGACCAUGGAGGAAAAACGAGCCUCCCAGUGGACCGGGCCAUAACCCCUAAAGCCAAGAGAGACAUCUUUAGGCCGCAGAAUAUCUGACCAACAAUGAUCCGGCCAAUAAAGCCGAUCAACGAACCAAGUUACCCUAGGGAUAACAGCGCAAUCCUCUCCCAGAGUCCAUAUCUACGAGGGGGUUUACGACCUCGAUGUUGGAUCAGGACAUCCUAAUGGUGCAGCCGCUAUUAAGGGUUCGUUUGUUCAACGAUUAAAGUCCUACGUGAUCU